GGUCUUAUAUUCAAUUAUGAUUCUAGACUGCAAUUCUAGAGGUGUAAAUCUACUAAGGCCU
Molecule: transfer RNA, 61 nt
Filed under: Conophymacris viridis
Lineage: Eukaryota; Metazoa; Arthropoda; Insecta; Orthoptera; Dericorythidae
Also listed under: 1 other name
Description: tRNA-Cys
Source: RNAcentral